CAAUAGCGUAUAUUAAUGUUGUUGCAGUUAAAAAGCUCGUAGUUGGAUUUCUGACAGGAGCGACCGGUCCGAGCCUUCGGGUUCGUGUACUUUGUGUUGUCUCUAGUCAUCCUUAUGGAGAGCGUGUCUUUCAUUAAUUUGUUGGGCAUGGGAUCCAUAUCGUUUACUGUGAAAAAAUUAGAGUGUUCAAAGCAGGCAAUCGCUGUGAAUAUAUUAGCAUGGAAUAAUAGGAUAGGACUUUGGUACUAUUUUGUUGGUUUGCAUACCAAGGUAAUGAUUAAGAGGGACAGUUGGGGGUAUUCGUAUUUAAUUGUCAGAGGUGAAAUUCUUGGAUUUAUGAAAGACGAACUACUGCGAAAGCAUUUGCCAAGGAUGUUUUCAUUGA
This 385-nucleotide ribosomal RNA is filed under the name uncultured eukaryote. Its description in RNAcentral is "partial 18S ribosomal RNA". It matches the Rfam family "Eukaryotic small subunit ribosomal RNA", at positions 592 to 976 of the family's 1831-position model. The record is from RNAcentral.